GCAGUAGCCGCGGGAAUACGUAGGGUGCAAGCGUUAAUCGGAAUUACUGGGCGUAAAGCGUGCGCAGGCGGUUUGUUAAGACAGAUGUGAAAUCCCCGGGCUCAACCUGGGAACUGCAUUUGUGACUGGCAAGCUAGAGUGUGGCAGAGGGAGGUGGAAUUCCGCGUGUAGCAGUGAAAUGCGUAGAUAUGCGGAGGAACACCGAUGGCGAAGGCAGCCAUCUGGGACAACACUGACGCUGAGGCACGAAAGCGUGGGGAGCAAACAGGAUUAGAUACCCCUGUAGUCCCUGUCUCUUAUAA
This 302-nucleotide ribosomal RNA is filed under the name uncultured bacterium. RNAcentral describes it as "partial 16S ribosomal RNA". It matches the Rfam family "Bacterial small subunit ribosomal RNA", at positions 508 to 809 of the family's 1533-position model. The record is from RNAcentral.